AACGAACGCUGGCGGCGUGCCUAACACAUGCAAGUCGAGCGCGAAUGGAGCAAUCCUAGUAGAGCGGCGCACGGGUGCGUAACACGUGGGUAAUCUGCCUGGAAGACUGGAAUAACCUGCCGAAAGGCUGGCUAAUACCGGAUAAGCCUACGGGGUCCUCGGAUCCUGAAGGAAAGGUGGCCUCUGUAUACAAGCUAUCACUUCCAGAUGAGCCCGCGGCCCAUCAGCUAGUUGGCGGGGUAAAGGCCCACCAAGGCAACGACGGGUAGCUGGUCUGAGAGGACGAUCAGCCACACUGGAACUGAGACACGGUCCAGACUCCUACGGGAGGCAGCAGUGGGGAAUUUUGCACAAUGGGCGAAAGCCUGAUGCAGCAACGCCGCGUGUGUGAUGAAGGUC
RNAcentral lists this ribosomal RNA (399 nucleotides) under uncultured bacterium. Its description in RNAcentral is "bacterial SSU rRNA". It matches the Rfam family "Bacterial small subunit ribosomal RNA", at positions 29 to 416 of the family's 1533-position model. The record is from RNAcentral.